AUUGAACGCUGGCGGCAUGCCUUACACAUGCAAGUCGAACGGCAGCACGGGUGCUUGCACCUGGUGGCGAGUGGCGAACGGGUGAGUAAUAUAUCGGAACGUACCUUAUUGUGGGGGAUAACGCAGCGAAAGCUGUGCUAAUACCGCAUAACCCCUAAGGGGGAAAGCGGGGGACCGUAAGGCCUCGCGCAAUUAGAGCGGCCGAUACCUGAUUAGCUAGUUGGUGAGGUAAAGGCUCACCAAGGCAACGAUCAGUAGCUGGUCUGAGAGGACGAUCAGCCACACUGGGACUGAGACACGGCCCAGACUCCUCCGGGAGGCAGCAGUGGGGAAUUUUGGACAAUGGGGGCAACCCUGAUCCAGCAAUGCCGCGUGAGUGAAGAAGGCCUUCGGGUUGUAAAGCUCUUUUGUCAGGGAAGAAACAGCAGCUCUAACACAGUUUGCGAAUGACGGUACCUGAAGAAUAAGCACCGGCUAACUACGUGCCAGCCGCCGCUGUAA
Molecule: ribosomal RNA, 501 nt
Filed under: uncultured bacterium
Lineage: Bacteria
Description: partial 16S ribosomal RNA
Rfam family: Bacterial small subunit ribosomal RNA
Source: RNAcentral